RNAcentral lists this ribosomal RNA (443 nucleotides) under uncultured bacterium. RNAcentral's name for it is "partial 16S ribosomal RNA". It matches the Rfam family "Bacterial small subunit ribosomal RNA", at positions 338 to 795 of the family's 1533-position model. The record is from RNAcentral.
CCUACGGGAGGCAGCAGUGGGGGAUAUUGGACAAUGGGGGAAACCCUGAUCCAGCGACGCCGCGUGAGUGAAGAAGUAUUUCGGUAUGUAAAGCUCUAUCAGCAGGGAAGAAAGAAAUGACGGUACCUGAGUAAGAAGCCGCGGCUAACUACGUGCCAGCAGCCGCGGUAAUACGUGGGGGGCAAGCGUUAUCCGGAAUUACUGGGUGUAAAGGGAGCGUAGACGGUGAUGUAAGUCUGGAGUGAAAGGCGGGGGCGCAACCCCCGGACUGCUCUGGAAACUGUGUAACUGGAGUGCAGGAGAGGCAGGCGGAAUUCCUAGUGUAGCGGUGAAAUGCGUAGAUAUUAGGAGGAACACCAGUGGCGAAGGCGGCCUGCUGGACUGUAACUGACGUUGAGGCUCGAAAGCGUGGGGAGCAAACAGGAUUAGAUACCCCAGUAGUC